UACCCUAACUUUUCACGCCGGAACCCCAAGUCAAAUCAAAAGGUGGGUCACUCCCGCCUUUCUCGCUCUUCCUUUUCCCUUUUUAUGCCCUUCCAUUCAAACAAAAUGAGCACUUAACAGUUACGACAAUAGCCUUCACCAUCGCUCAGAUUGAGAUGGAUGCCACAAUCGAUCAAUCCAGGAAGUCAGUUGGAGGGUCAUUACUUUGAUAUCCACUUCGAUCUGCAACCAAAGGGAAGGAUGCGAAUAUAUCAAAUUAGGAGACGCAUAAAAGUUCGGCUACCAGAAGGUUUUGCUAUCUUUUAUGACUUAUUUACUUUGUUUCAUUGAUUUAGGUUGAUGGAAACUAUUAUUUGUGGGAGCAGAAAAGAGGUCUCUCGGUUGUUUU
Long non-coding RNA from Dendrobium catenatum, 388 nucleotides. RefSeq lists it as uncharacterized. The record is from RefSeq and is a predicted model, not a curated record. The transcript is spliced from 2 exons. Lineage: Eukaryota; Viridiplantae; Streptophyta; Magnoliopsida; Asparagales; Orchidaceae.